Molecule: ribosomal RNA, 807 nt
Filed under: uncultured bacterium
Lineage: Bacteria
Description: bacterial SSU rRNA
Rfam family: Bacterial small subunit ribosomal RNA
Source: RNAcentral
AGAGUUUGAUCCUGGCUCAGAACGAACGCUGGCGGCGUGGAUAAGACAUGCAAGUCGAACGGGAUUACUUUUGUAGCAAUACAGAAGUAAUUCAGUGGCGAACGGGUGCGUAACACGUGGGCAAUCUGCCGAAAAGUGGGGGAUAGCUCGCCGAAAGGCGAAUUAAUACCGCAUGUGGUGAGGGACGACAUCUUCCUGAAUCCAAAGCCGGGGCAACCUGGCGCUUUUUGAGGAGCCCGCGGCCUAUCAGCUAGUUGGUGAGGUAACGGCUCACCAAGGCUAUGACGGGUAGCUGGUCUGAGAGGACGACCAGUCACACUGGAACUGAGACACGGUCCAGACACCUACGGGUGGCAGCAGUCGAGAAUUUUUCUCAAUGGGGGAAACCCUGAAGGAGCGACGCCGCGUGGAGGAUGAAGGCUUUCGGGUUGUAAACUCCUGUCAUUUGGGAACAAGGUGCACACGUUAACUGCGUGGGUAUUGAUAGUACCAGAAGAGGAAGGGACGGCUAACUCUGUGCCAGCAGCCGCGGUAAUACAGAGGUCCCAAGCGUUGUUCGGAUUCAUUGGGCGUAAAGGGUGCGUAGGUGGCGCCGUAAGUCGGGUGUGAAAUUUCGGAGCUUAACUCCGAAACUGCAUUCGAUACUGCGGUGCUUGAGGACUGGAGAGGAGACUGGAAUUCAUGGUGUAGCAGUGAAAUGCGUAGAGAUCAUGAGGAAGACCAGUGGCGAAGCGGGUCUCUGGACAGUUCCUGACACUGAGGCACGAAAGCCAGGGGAGCAAACGGGAUUAGAUACCCCGGUAGUCC